This 450-nucleotide ribosomal RNA is filed under the name uncultured Paraglomus. RNAcentral's name for it is "bacterial SSU rRNA". It matches the Rfam family "Eukaryotic small subunit ribosomal RNA", at positions 569 to 1021 of the family's 1831-position model. The record is from RNAcentral. Lineage: Eukaryota; Fungi; Glomeromycota; Glomeromycetes; Paraglomerales; Paraglomeraceae.
AGCAGCCGCGGUAAUUCCAGCUCCAAUAGCGUAUAUUAAAGUUGUUGCAGUUAAAAAGCUCGUAGUUGAACUUCAGGCCUGUCCAGACGGUCCGCCUUAAUUGGUGUGUACUGUCCUUGGGUGGGUCCUACCUUCUGGCGAAGCGGCAUGGCCUUAAUUGGUUGUGUCGGGGAACCAGGACUUUUACUGUGAAAAAUUAGAGUGUUCAAAGCAGGCAAAUAUGCUCGAAUACAUUAGCAUGGAAUAAUGGAAUAGGACGAUGGUUCUAUUUUGUUGGUUCUAGGACCGUUGUAAUGAUUAAUAGGGAUAGUUGGGGGCAUUAGUAUUCAAUUGUCAGAGGUGAAAUUCUUGGAUUUAUUGAAGACUAACUACUGCGAAAGCAUUUGCCAAGGAUGUUUUCAUUAAUCAAGAACGAAAGUUAGGGGAUCGAAGACGAUCAGAUACCGCCGU